UGGACUGUAUGGUUGGUGGCAGUUGGGCAUGAGGAGCGGUAUGUGUGUGAGACUCACACAUGCCGGAAACCCAAGGUUUCCAGGGGAAGGUUCGUCCGCCCUGGGUUAGUCGGGACCUAAGCUGAGGCCGAAAGGCGGAGGUGAUGGACAACAUGUUGAUAUUCCUGUACUACCGAUAACCGUUUGAGAGAAGGGAUGACACAGUAGGAUAAGCUAAGCACACUGUUGGUUAUGUGUGCCCAAGCAUUGAGGCAGUCAAAGUAGGUAAAUCCGCUUUGAUAAUGCUAGGAUGUGAUGGGGAGCGAUAUUUAGUAGCGAAGUAGCGGCUUGCACACUGUCAAGAAAAGUCUCUAUCGAGGUUAAAGGUACCCGUACAGCAAACCGACACAGGUGGGUGGGGAGAGUAUCCGAAGGACGAG
This 419-nucleotide ribosomal RNA is filed under the name Clostridioides difficile. Its description in RNAcentral is "bacterial LSU rRNA". It matches the Rfam family "Bacterial large subunit ribosomal RNA", at positions 1274 to 1690 of the family's 2925-position model. The record is from RNAcentral. Lineage: Bacteria; Bacillati; Bacillota; Clostridia; Peptostreptococcales; Peptostreptococcaceae.